GUUGAUAUGAAAUUUUAUAUUGUCUAUGCAAUUUUAGGACAGCAGUAUAUAGUGAGAAUGGGGGGUGCUCACUGUAUUUAUUAUUAAAAUAAAACUUAAUCGCCCCAUGUCCAAAAUUGCGUUGCAAUUACGUACUAUGUACACGUAACAUAGUCAGAUUAUCAAAACAGCCAUUAUUUGAAACAGUAUUAUGAAGUUAUGAACUGAUGCACAAUGUCCAGCAUAAUUUACAUAAGAUCACGUAUCCAAUCAUACAAAUGAGAUUUCAACUCUCAUCACAUGCGAGGACAAGCUGAUAUGUACUAGUUAAAACAUGAGUGAGCUGGGCUUUAUCUAUUAUACAAUUUUUGUAUUUUUGUAUUUUCCUCAUGAAUUAUUAAUGAGUUUUUUAAAUAGCCAUACAGUAUAGUCUUAAUUAUUUGAAAACUCUCGUGCAUGCGUGCAGCUAUUAUUGCAUGGUUUUGAUUAUACUGCCACAUUUCUCGUCAAAACCGCCACAAAGAAUAAUUUCAUAGAGAGCUUGUAUAAAAUUAAUAAAUUUAUGUUAUUCAAUUUACAAAACCUCAAUUUGAUUAUGUUAUUGCUAUAUGCGACUAGAUAGAAUUUUUUUUUCAAAUACUGUUAUGACAUAUUAGCAGCUUUUGAUCUACUACGGCUAAUAAGUACCUCAUGUACCUCUUUUGAGUUUUGGGUCCAUGUUUCGAAUAAAUUAAGAUAUUUCAUGCGCAUAUAUCAUGCACCCCUAUUUUGCUUAGCUGCAAAGUGGGAUGGCAAAGAACGCGAUAUGAUAUAAACCGGCCCUUCUUUCGUGCCCUUUUACCCCUUUUUAUAUGGACAGAAAUAGCUCAUAUCCUGCUGACAGGAAGAUAAGACUACUCAAAAACUGUGACCAUCCGGCUGGCUUCCCCUAUUACCAUAAACUACGUCAGCACAAGUUGCAUAAAUAUACGUACACAACACUGGUCACUUUCAUUUCAUCUCAUUGUGAAUAAAACAGAGUGAAACACUGGGUUUAGCAUUUAAAAGUUUUACAAGCUUCGGAAGAGAACCAGGUAAGAGUCAACAAAUAAUUCAUAUCGAGUAGCUAGCUAUAUUAGUCGAAUUACUAUUCUGAUCGUCGAGUUUGUGCAACUUAUAAAAAUCCAUGUACAAAUAUAUAUACCACUAACGAAGAGCGCGCUUGGUUUUUCGAAUAUUGAUUUUUGAAGUUUGCAGUUUACCUGGCAGUUUGCGCCAAUGAGUUUGUUAUUUCCGAAACAAUAUAAAUCAUGAUUUCCCAAGCUUACCGUUUGCGCUAAUAAGGUAGUGUAACAGUCAACUAAAAACCUAGUUAUUAAACAUAGACGUUACAUGAUAUAUUUAUGUUGUGUUAUGUUCUAAAAUGCAUUCGUUGCAUUAUUUGCCGAGUGAAAUCAUAAAUUUUGUGUCCGUGUACUGUAUUACUUGGUAUUCGUUGCCCGCUCAGGUUUACACGCGUGACACCUAGCGAACUAAAGUCGUAGCCACUGAUAGCGUACCAAAUUCACAAACUGUAACUGCAAAUUGUCUUGUCAUAUAUGAUUGUAUGUGGCAAUUAAAUAUUGUCGCAGUGACAACUUUGAAGCAUAUAAAACAACAUAUUGUAUUCAUAAACACCGUAUUAAACUAAGAAACCCGGCAAAACUAAUCUACUAGUCUAAACUUAGUCUGUACUCUGUAGUGUAGUCAAAGCACAUGG
Non-coding RNA from Paramuricea clavata, 1717 nucleotides. Lineage: Eukaryota; Metazoa; Cnidaria; Anthozoa; Malacalcyonacea; Plexauridae. The record is from the annotation of a GenBank genome assembly.